UCAACUGCUGAAGGACAAAAUCAAGUCCCAACCUACAUUUCUUCUUAUUCAAGUUGUUUCACUUGGAUAUAUGUCACAAUAAGGAAGUAAAGACUAUCGCAAUUUCUAUUUCACACCAACUUUAAGGUACUACAGCUUUUAGGGAGAAAUAAGGUACAAAAAUGUCUCUUUAAUAGUACUGCCACAGUAACAAUCCGUAAGUCAAUUUUUGCACAUUGCUUUUUCUGAGAGUGUGCCUUGUAUUAUAAUGCAUUGAUAAGCAGAUCCAUCACAUGACCUGAUAUUGUCCUCUAAAACUUAAAGAUUUAUUCUAUUUUGGCAUUGCAUGUACAUGAUUAUUUUGUUGUUGUUGAACUAACCUACACAUUUUCUCUUCAAAAGGUUCAGUAUGAACAGUAUCUGGAAGAGAACUUCCCACAAUGGCAGCAAAGACUCAAAAGACAUAAGAGUUUCUGAAAACUCAAAGUUGCUUUUUAUGGGAAGGUCAUUUCUUUUAAAAGGUGUCAUGACAAACAUGAACAAAACUCAGGUACUACAGCACUUAAAGAACAAUAUUCAGCAGAAGUCUGACUUUAGAGGCAAUCUUCUGUCCUCCAAUUUUCCAGAACCAUCUCAGCCUUCUCAUAUAUGCUAAACACUCAUCAGACAGGGAAAGCUCUUCCACUAUAUCACAAGACACUUAAGAUAGCCACUCUGACACAAAAAUCAGCAAAACACAUCAAAAACAUCUAAGAAGUGUAACAGCAAAGAAUCCAUUAUCACUG
Molecule: long non-coding RNA, 764 nt
Organism: Cyprinus carpio carpio
Lineage: Eukaryota; Metazoa; Chordata; Actinopteri; Cypriniformes; Cyprinidae
Source: Ensembl